CUGCGUACCUUUUGUAUAAUGGGUCAGCGACUUAUAUUCUGUAGCAAGGUUAACCGAAUAGGGGAGCCGAAGGGAAACCGAGUCUUAACUGGGCGUUAAGUUGCAGGGUAUAGACCCGAAACCCGGUGAUCUAGCCAUGGGCAGGUUGAAGGUUGGGUAACACUAACUGGAGGACCGAACCGACUAAUGUUGAAAAAUUAGCGGAUGACUUGUGGCUGGGGGUGAAAGGCCAAUCAAACCGGGAGAUAGCUGGUUCUCCCCGAAAGCUAUUUAGGUAGCGCCUCGUGAAUUCAUCUCCGGGGGUAGAGCACUGUUUCGGCAAGGGGGUCAUCCCGACUUACCAACCCGAUGCAAACUGCGAAUACCGGAGAAUGUUAUCACGGGAGACACACGGCGGGUGCUAACGUCCGUCGUGAAGAGGGAAACAACCCAGACCGCCAGCUAAGGUCCCAAAGUCAUGGUUAAGUGGGAAACGAUGUGGGAAGGCCCAGACAGCCAGGAUGUUGGCUUAGAAGCAGCCAUCAUUUAAAGAAAGCGUAAUAGCUCACUGGUCGAGUCGGCCUGCGCGGAAGAUGUAACGGGGCUAAACCAUGCACCGAAGCUGCGGCAGCGACACUAUGUGUUGUUGGGUAGGGGAGCGUUCUGUAAGCCUGU
This 654-nucleotide ribosomal RNA is filed under the name Escherichia coli. RNAcentral's name for it is "partial 23S ribosomal RNA". It matches the Rfam family "Bacterial large subunit ribosomal RNA", at positions 597 to 1252 of the family's 2925-position model. Lineage: Bacteria; Pseudomonadati; Pseudomonadota; Gammaproteobacteria; Enterobacterales; Enterobacteriaceae. The record is from RNAcentral.